This 72-nucleotide transfer RNA is filed under the name Camelus bactrianus (Bactrian camel). It matches the Rfam family "tRNA". From Rfam's summary of the family: Transfer RNA (tRNA) molecules are approximately 80 nucleotides in length. Their secondary structure includes four short double-helical elements and three loops (D, anti-codon, and T loops). Lineage: Eukaryota; Metazoa; Chordata; Mammalia; Artiodactyla; Camelidae. RNAcentral also lists the same sequence under 3 other names. The record is from Rfam by way of RNAcentral.
GAGGGUAUAGCUCAGUGGUACAGCACAUGCUAUGCAUGCACGAGGUCCUGGGUUCAAUUCCCAGCAUCUCUG